This 253-nucleotide ribosomal RNA is filed under the name uncultured bacterium. Its description in RNAcentral is "partial 16S ribosomal RNA". It matches the Rfam family "Bacterial small subunit ribosomal RNA", at positions 524 to 776 of the family's 1533-position model. The record is from RNAcentral.
UACGUAGGGGGCGAGCGUUGUCCGGAUUUAUUGGGCGUAAAGAGCGUGUAGGCGGCCAGGUAGGUCUGCUGUGAAAACUCGAGGCUCAACCUCGAGACGUCGGCGGAAACCAUCUGGCUAGAGUCCGGAAGAGGAGAGUGGAAUUCCUGGUGUAGCGGUGAAAUGCGCAGAUAUCAGGAAGAACACCCGUGGCGAAGGCGACUCUCUGGGACGGUACUGACGCUGAGGCACGACAGCGUGGGGAGCAAACAGG